Molecule: long non-coding RNA, 619 nt
Organism: Pecten maximus
Lineage: Eukaryota; Metazoa; Mollusca; Bivalvia; Pectinida; Pectinidae
Exons: 3
Source: RefSeq, a predicted model, not a curated record
GAUCCUAUCUGCGUGUGAGAAUCACCAGAAAGUAGACAGGAGGGUCAGUAGGUUUGUCGUGCCGUUGUCUGUCACUAUCAGUGCCAACGGAAGUGCCGUGUUCAUCACAUCGGCGGCCAUAUUCUCAGGCAAUAUCACAGGAAUUAGUCUGAAUGUUGGUGACAUUGUCAUUAUUAGUAUUUUGACCGCCAUCUGCGUCAUGGCGUUACCCAGCAUACCGAGUUCUGGAAUCGUUACCUUGGUGAUGAUAUUAACCUCCAUGAACAUCCCGCUGGAUUCUAUUUCUCUCCUGUUCGCGGUUGAAUGGUUUUUAGACCGGGUACGAUCGUCAAGUAACCUCGUGAGCCAUGCACACUGUGCAGUUGUGACGUAUCAUUUCUGUAGGAACGCUCUGGAGCAGUCCAAUAUAAUACAGGACAUCGGAAAAGACAAUGACAACACAGAGUUAGAAGUUUAGACAUUUUGUUAAUUAUCGUCAAAUCAGUAAAUAUAUCGUGGAAGAACGUCUUUUCUUCGACACAAAGGUUUAUACUAAGUUUUGAUAAUCACCUACGAGUGAUUUGAUAUGUUAUUUUGCGUGGUUCUAGAGUUCACCAUCAAAUGCCUAGAUGUCAACUGA